UCUGGUUGAUCCUGCCAGUAGUUAUAUGCUUGUCUCAAAGAUUAAGCCAUGCAUGUCUAAGUACACACGCAUUAAAAGUGAAACCGCAAAAGGCUCAUUAUAUCAGUUAUGGUUCCUUAGAUCGUUAACAGUUACUUGGAUAACUGUGGUAAUUCUAGAGCUAAUACAUGCAAUUAAAACAUGAACCUUAUGGGACAUGUGCUUUUAUUAGGCUAAAACCAAGCGAUCGCAAGAUCGUUAUAUUGGUUGAACUCUAGAUAACAUGCAGAUCGUAUGGUCUUGUACCGACGACAGAUCUUUCAAAUGUCUGCCCUAUCAACUUUUGAUGGUAGUAUCUAGGACUACCAUGGUUGCAACGGGUAACGGGGAAUCAGGGUUCGAUUCCGGAGAGGGAGCCUGAGAAACGGCUACCACAUCUAAGGAAGGCAGCAGGCGCGUAAAUUACCCACUCCCAGCUCGGGGAGGUAGUGACGAAAAAUAACAAUACAGGACUCAUAUCCGAGGCCCUGUAAUUGGAAUGAGUACACUUUAAAUCCUUUAACAAGGACCAAUUGGAGGGCAAGUCUGGUGCCAGCAGCCGCGGUAAUUCCAGCUCCAAUAGCGUAUAUUAAAGUUGUUGCGGUUAAAACGUUCGUAGUUGAACUUGUGCUUCAUACGGGUAGUACAACAUACAAUUGUAGUUAGUACUAUACCUUUAUGUAUGUAAGCGUAUUACCGGUGGAGUUCUUAUAUAUGUUUAAAUACUUGUAUUUUUUCAUAUGUUCCUCCUAUUUAAAAACCUGCAUUAGUGCUCUUAAACGAGUGUUAUUGUGGGCCGGUACAAUUACUUUGAACAAAUUAGAGUGCUUAAAGCAGGCUUCAAAUGCCUGAAUAUUCUGUGCAUGGGAUAAUGAAAUAAGACCUCUGUUCUGCUUUCAUUGGUUUUCAGAUCAAGAGGUAAUGAUUAAUAGAAGCAGUUUGGGGGCAUUAGUAUUACGA
RNAcentral lists this ribosomal RNA (978 nucleotides) under Drosophila ananassae. Its description in RNAcentral is "SSU rRNA". It matches the Rfam family "Eukaryotic small subunit ribosomal RNA", at positions 1 to 902 of the family's 1831-position model. Lineage: Eukaryota; Metazoa; Arthropoda; Insecta; Diptera; Drosophilidae. The record is from RNAcentral.